GGAAUCAGGGCCGAGUUUCACUUCGAGCUGCUCUCAUUUGUUGACCCUGGACCAUAAAGUUACUCAGACUGUGGCAGCGCUGCGUUUAAAAUGACAACCACAGAGAACUCAAACCGAGAGGAAAAUCAGCUGCGUGAGAAACCCGCUGGUCACGUGACCCGAGAGGCCCGUGCCGCUCACCUUUACGUUGGUGAAGUCGUAGUCGUACUGAGGGUGGAAGAAGUUCUCCGUGUUGAUUUCCACAGUGAGCUGGAAGCUCUCGGGAGGCGCGUCCAGGGCCGGGGGCGAGCUGUACAUGUCGGCUUCGUCUAAGUCGUGCAGAGACAGCGUCCCCAAGCUGGGGUACUCCAGCUCCUUAAAGCCCUCCUGCUUGUAAAACUCUUUGAGGGCCACGACGUUGACCAGGUCCUGCGGGGUGAACUGGGAGCUUCCGGUUGUCGCUUCGGCUCUGCAGCCCAGGAGCGCGGAGACGGCCUCCAGGCACAGCCUGACGUCCGGCAUGCUGCUGCUGCGAGGACGGCGGGACAGCAGGCGGGGUCCUCCGGCUUCACAGGACAAAUAUCUGCCCCCUCUGAGGAACCGAGGUCGGAACCGAGCUGAAAAACGCGCAGAGACAGAAGAGAAGCUCGACGUCUGCGUCCGGACAGCUCCCCGAACUUUCGCUUUCACUUACACGCAGCCGGGGGCGGGGCUUAACACACAGUUUCACUGAGAGCAAACACACCUGUUUCGUUCUUGGAUGGAGGGCGUGUGCACUGAAACUCAUCACGAGUUGUUGUGUUGUCACAGUAAUAAAUAGUUGUCUCUAUCUGCGGUAUCAUGACAAAGUCAUUGUUUGCUGUGAGGGCAGCUAUAGCGCCCCCUUGUGCUGAGUCUGAUUUUGGCACAGUACACGACUGUGGGGGUCAUGCUGGAGGAUGAAGUCACGCAUGGAAGUCUGUCACCUCUGCAGGUCACCUGUGGGUGUCAGCAGGGAGUCACAUGGUUCGAUUUGAUGAACCGGAGCCAAUCAAAGUACAGGAGCUGGUCAUGUGUGACACGAGUGGAACAGGAUAAAAUCCCUUCAUUGAGUCAAUGAUGCUGCUGUCUGUGCUGAGCUCUGAUGUGGGCGUACAUCACGUUCUGAUGUCACUCUGAGUCAGCUUCGUCUCCCUCACCUGUCCCAUGUCUCGUUUCCUCUGCAGGUAAACCGUCUGUUUGCUCCUGCUGUAACCCACGGAGACGGGACGACGAUCACCGGGUCACAGAGGAAGAGUCUUUGCAUUAUUCCAGCCUGAAGCAUCCAGACAAGCCCCGCCCCACCACCAGGAGAGGAACCGGAUUGGCUGAAGAGAAGGUCCUGUACUCAACAGUGAACAUGUGCAAGAACUCAAAGGCAUCACAUGACCACAGAUAGAAGCACUUUAAAUGAGCGUAAAUGAAUUUUUUAAAUUAAUAAAACUGUGAAAAUAUGUGAUUAGAUUUCAAAAUCUAGAUUUUAGUUUAUUUGUUUGUGUAAACAGAUAAGAUUUAUUUUUCAGUGAGCAGAAAAACUUAAAAUGUUAAAUAUCCAGAAAGUUGCAAUGAAAGCAAAAUGUUUGUAAAACAUUUCUGUUAAUAAAGUAACAGCCAUGAAUGUAAAUCUGCCACAGCAGAUAAUUACUAAACUAAAGAAAAUCCUUUUUUACCCAUGUGUGUGAAUAGUUCCCUCGGGUCAGUUUCAAAUCUUUAUGUCUGUGUCUGAAUAUUGCUGCUGUAAAUAUGUUUGCUGUGCUGCUUCCAUGAACAGGUUCCACACUUUGUCUGUUACUAAUAAACUGAUUCUGACACCACGAUCUGUCCUGAUGGCCGCCGCUCCAGAUGUGACGCUCCACAUGUGGACGCCUGUGAACGAGUCCUCGCUGUAACAUGUAAAGACUCAGUGAAAGCAGCUGUGCUGCUGAAGCAGAGAGUGAAACAUGAAACCAAACUGACUGACAGGAUUUUAACAGCUUGUGUCACAGGUGAAACUAAGCUUCCCGUCACACGACCGUACACUCAGACUUUCAGAGUUUGUGCUCAGCUCUCGCUGCAGGUCUGCUGACGACAGAGGAGUAGAUGACGCUGUGGUGGCUCUGCUCCGGCGGACUCCUGCUGGGUCUCUCUCUCCAGUUCUGUCGGCCCAGAGAGGCGUAGUGGAUCGUCUCCCCACAGAGGGGCGGGGUCUCUAAGUCCUCACCCUCUGCAGACAGACACACCGUUUUAAUCCCUCGUAGACUGACGUGAGGACAUCGAACACCUGGUGAGGUUACCUGUCGGUGCGCUGGACGCCGUCCACGGCUGCAGCUCUGUGUCUUCACGUGUCGGUGCUGCUGCAUGG
Molecule: long non-coding RNA, 2338 nt
Organism: Astatotilapia calliptera (eastern happy)
Lineage: Eukaryota; Metazoa; Chordata; Actinopteri; Cichliformes; Cichlidae
Source: Ensembl